UACGUAGGGGGCAAGCGUUGUCCGGAUUUAUUGGGCGUAAAGAGCGUGUAGGCGGCCUGAAAGGUCAGCUGUGAAAACUCGAGGCUCAACCUCGAGACGUCGGUUGAAACCAUCUGGCUAGAGUCCGGAAGAGGAGUGUGGAAUUCCCGGUGUAGCGGUGAAAUGCGCAGAUAUCGGGAAGAACACCCGUGGCGAAGGCGGCUACCUGGACCGGUUCUGACGCUGAUGCGCGAAAGCGUGGGUAGCAAACAGG
RNAcentral lists this ribosomal RNA (253 nucleotides) under uncultured bacterium. RNAcentral describes it as "partial 16S ribosomal RNA". It matches the Rfam family "Bacterial small subunit ribosomal RNA", at positions 524 to 776 of the family's 1533-position model. The record is from RNAcentral.